Mycena leptocephala is the source of this 89-nucleotide non-coding RNA. NCBI's taxonomy places the organism in Eukaryota, Fungi, Basidiomycota, Agaricomycetes, Agaricales, Mycenaceae. The record is from the annotation of a GenBank genome assembly.
UCGGACGUGGUGUAUGGUGCACUCCCGCUUUCGAUCUCUGAAUGGUAUGGUUGAGGAGGGAGUACUGGGUUCGAUUCCCGGUGUCCGAA